This 467-nucleotide ribosomal RNA is filed under the name uncultured bacterium. Its description in RNAcentral is "partial 16S ribosomal RNA". It matches the Rfam family "Bacterial small subunit ribosomal RNA", at positions 28 to 506 of the family's 1533-position model. The record is from RNAcentral.
GACGAACGCUGGCGGCGUGCUUAACACAUGCAAGUCGAACGGAUAGGCCCUGCUUUUGUGGGGUGCUCGAGUGGCGAACGGGUGAGUAACAUGUGAGUCACCUUCCCUUGACUUUGUGAUAACUUCAGGAAACUGGGGCUAAUACCUGAUAGGAGCUCCUGCUGCAUGGUGGGGUUUGGACAGUUUCGGCGGUUGUGGAUGGACUCGCGGCUUAUGAGCUUGUGGGUGGAGUAGUGGCUUACCAAGGCUUGGACGGGUAGCCGGACUGAGAGGGUGACCGGCCACAGUGGGACUGAGAAACGACCCAGACGGCUACGGGAGGCAAGAGUGGGGAAUAGUGCACAAUGGGCGGAAGCCGGAUGCAGCAACGCCGCGUGCGGGAUGACGGCCUGUGGGGUGUAAACCGCGUUAGCCUGUGACGAAGCGUGAGUGACGGUAAUGGGUAAAGAAGCACCGCCUAACUACGG